This 497-nucleotide ribosomal RNA is filed under the name uncultured bacterium. Its description in RNAcentral is "partial 16S ribosomal RNA". It matches the Rfam family "Bacterial small subunit ribosomal RNA", at positions 28 to 507 of the family's 1533-position model. The record is from RNAcentral.
GAUGAACGCUGGCGGCGUGCCUAAUACAUGCAAGUCGAGCGAACGGACGAGGAGCUUGCUUCUCUGAUGUUAGCGGCGGACGGGUGAGUAACACGUGGAUAACCUACCUAUAAGACUGGGAUAACUUCGGGAAACCGGAGCUAGUACCGGAUAAUAUUUUGAACCGCAUGGUUCAAAAGUGAAAGACGGUCUUGCUGUCACUUAUAGAUGGAUCCGCGCUGCAUUAGCUAGUUGGUAAGGUAACGGCUUACCAAGGCAACGAUGCAUAGCCGACCUGAGAGGGUGAUCGGCCACACUGGAACUGAGACACGGUCCAGACUCCUACGGGAGGCAGCAGUAGGGAAUCUUCCGCAAUGGGCGAAAGCCUGACGGAGCAACGCCGCGUGAGUGAUGAAGGUCUUCGGAUCGUAAAACUCUGUUAUUAGGGAAGAACAUAUGUGUAAGUAACUGUGCACAUCUUGACGGUACCUAAUCAGAAAGCCACGGCUAACUACGUG